This 213-nucleotide long non-coding RNA is filed under the name Gallus gallus (chicken). Lineage: Eukaryota; Metazoa; Chordata; Aves; Galliformes; Phasianidae. The record is from RNAcentral.
AGAAAAUAAAAGCUUUUUAGUGUCUUAGCUAUAUUUUCCUCAAAAAAAAAAAAAAAAAGAAAAGAAAAGAAAAAAAAAGAGUACUGUAAGUGCUACCAUCUCAGCUAUUCUCCACUGAAUUAAAACAUUUUCUAGCUGCUUGUGUCCACGCCUUCAUUACUGUUAUUAUUUUAAAUUUGUAAUGUUGUCAAGUUAUUCUCAUGUAUACAACAU